UGGGGAAUUUUGGACAAUGGGGGAAACCCUGAUCCAGCCAUCCCGCGUGUGCGAUGAAGGCCUUCGGGUUGUAAAGCACUUUUGGCAGGAAAGAAACGUCGCGGGUUAAUACCCCGCGAAACUGACGGUACCUGCAGAAUAAGCACCGGCUAACUACGUGCCAGCAGCCGCGGUAAUACGUAGGGUGCAAGCGUUAAUCGGAAUUACUGGGCGUAAAGCGUGCGCAGGCGGUUCGGAAAGAAAGAUGUGAAAUCCCAGAGCUUAACUUUGGAACUGCAUUUUUAACUACCGGGCUAGAGUGUGUCAGAGGGAGGUGGAAUUCCGCGUGUAGCAGUGAAAUGCGUAGAUAUGCGGAGGAACACCGAUGGCGAAGGCAGCCUCCUGGGAUAACACUGACGCUCAUGCACGAAAGCGUGGGGAGCAAACAGGAUUAGUACCCUGGUAGUCCACGCCCUAAACGAUGUCAACUAGCUGUUGGGGCCUUCGGGCCUUGGUANCGCAGCUAACGCGUGAAGUUGACCGCCUGGGGAGUACGGUCGCAAGAUUAAAAACUCAAAGGAAUUGACGGGGUCAUAGCUG
Molecule: ribosomal RNA, 579 nt
Filed under: uncultured bacterium
Lineage: Bacteria
Description: partial 16S ribosomal RNA
Rfam family: Bacterial small subunit ribosomal RNA
Source: RNAcentral